CCCGCUGAACUUAAGCAUAUCAAUAAGCGGAGGAAAAGAAACUAACAAGGAUUCCCCUAGUAACGGCGAGUGAAGCGGGAAGAGCUCAAAUUUAAAAUCUGGCAGGUUACCUGUCCGAAUUGUAGUUUAGAGAAGGCGUUUUCGCUGGGUCCGCAGGUACAAGUCCCUUGGAAUGGGGCAUCACAGAGGGUGAGAAUCCCGUGAGCGAUCUGGAGCGACCUGGUAUGUGAUACACCUUCGAAGAGUCGGGUUGUUUGGGAUUGCAGCCCUAAAUGGGUGGUAAAUUUCAUCUAAGGCUAAAUAUUGGCGAGAGACCGAUAGCGAACAAGUACCGUGAGGGAAAGAUGAAAAGAACUUUGAAAAGAGAGUGAAACAGUACGUGAAAUUGUUGAAAGGGAAGCAUUUGGAAUCAGCAUUGCAGGCAGGAAAUCAGCCGUGUCUUUUGCAUGGUGUACUUUCCUGUUAGCAGGUCAGCGUCGGUUUUGUCUGAUGGACAAAUGGCUUGGGAAGGUAGCUUCGUCUGUAAAGAUGAAGUGUUAUAGACCUUGCUUUUACAUUGGAGAAGAUUGAGGACUGCAGCCAAGUUUGGGGGAGUGUGUUGCUGAGCAGAUCGUGUUUGUGGACAGCUUGCUGACCGUAGGUAACGAUUCUGUUCAACCGGCAUGCUUCUCUCCUAUUGGCUUAGGUCGCUGACGUAAUGAUUUCAAAUGACCCGUCUUGAAACACGG
This 728-nucleotide ribosomal RNA is filed under the name uncultured fungus. RNAcentral's name for it is "eukaryotic LSU rRNA". It matches the Rfam family "Eukaryotic large subunit ribosomal RNA", at positions 24 to 664 of the family's 3401-position model. Lineage: Eukaryota; Fungi. The record is from RNAcentral.